UCUUGGGUAGUUCAAUGGUAGAGCAUCUGGCUGUUAACCAGAGAGUUGCAAGUUCGAGUCUUGCCCCAAGAGCCA
This 75-nucleotide transfer RNA is filed under the name Caudoviricetes sp. RNAcentral's name for it is "tRNA-Asn". It matches the Rfam family "tRNA". From Rfam's summary of the family: Transfer RNA (tRNA) molecules are approximately 80 nucleotides in length. The record is from RNAcentral. Lineage: Duplodnaviria; Heunggongvirae; Uroviricota; Caudoviricetes.